This 4748-nucleotide long non-coding RNA is filed under the name Homo sapiens (human). RNAcentral's name for it is "HSALNT0058976". The record is from RNAcentral. Lineage: Eukaryota; Metazoa; Chordata; Mammalia; Primates; Hominidae.
AAUAAAAAAAGAGAAAAAACAAAGAAAUUUAAAACUCUUGCUGUGAAAAGAAUGUAUCUGUGUAUAAGUCCCUUGAAUUAAAUUCUCCUGGAAAGCGUGUUCACAUUUUAAAAUUUUCUUUUAUUUAUUUUAUUUCAAUAGUUUUUGGAGAUCAGGUGGUUUUCGGUGAAUGUGCACAUUGACCAAAUGAAUGGGCAUGUGAAAGUGUGAUAUACAUGUAUAUAUACGUGUGUGAAAUGUAUGUCUCUGUGUGUGUGUGUUUCCGCUCUCACAGAGUUUACAUUCUAAAGGGAAGGUGUAAAGAUAAUACAUGAUGAUAUGAAUAAUACAAGUCAGUCCUGCUAAAUACCAGAAGGGAUACAUUUGCCAUGUGACCUAUGUAAUUUGGAAGACUCAACUUACCUCAUAUGUGAGUGAUUAGUUUCUGUGAUAUAAUUUAUCCACUACAAAAUCAAGCUUUGAUCCAUAAUUUUGAUUUACUUUUUCUAAACAGAUUCUUAUUAGUGGAAUUUUAAAAAAUGUUAUGUAACAAAAGCAACCUGAUGCCAUUCUUCUAAUUACCCAGGCUCACCUCUCUAGGGAAUUGAUUCUCAACUUCAGCAUGAACCAGGGCUUGUUACACAGAUUUCUAGGCUCCAUUGCCUGAGUUUCUGAUUUAGGAUGUCUGGGGUGGGGGUGAAGGGUGGGGGAACAUAAUUUGCAUGCUGCUAGUGUAGGGAUCACACUGCUCCAGGGUUAUCUUUGAAUUUGCCCUAUUGCUUGCCUUCCACAUCCAUGUUGACACCAAGGCUUAUCCUUCUUGUAUUCUCUGUCUUUCCCUUUCAUUUCCAUUCCUUUAUUUGACUUCUGCUUUUUUCUCUUGAUGAAGGGGGUAGAGGGGAGCACUGCUUUCUUCCCUGACAGGAUGGUUUGUAUUAUCUUUGUUUUUUUCUCUCUAAUUCUGUUGCUUUCAAACAUGCCCUUAACUCUUAGUUUCCUUUCUCACAACUUUUAUGAAGCUGCAGUAAGUGAAUGAAAGAAACUCCUAGAGAUAAGGAAGUCCUCCGUGGUUUGUUUAGCAGUGGAUAAAGAGUGGUUAGGUGAGCAAUUUUCUUUUACUGUUAUAAAAAUUGUUAAGAAAUAAAAAAAUUCUUGUUAUGAAGAAUAUUCAAGAGCAAUCUAAGGAGUAUAAAGGAGUUUCAGAGUUUAAAUUCCAAAGAGGAAGGACACAUGUCAAGCAUGUAUUAUUCAGAGACAGGAAAUAGAGCAAAGAAACUAAGUGUCUCCUGGGUAGUAGGGGCGAAAAGUAAUAAUGAUGAGGAUUUUUAAUUUUUCUAAUUAAGUAACACUUUGCCUCUUCUGAAAAGCUCUCACAUGCAUCAUACGUUUACAUCAAAAGGCAGAAAAAAUCAUUUUUAUUUUAAACUCAAAGAAAUAGACAGUUGUGAAAUUAACUGAUUUGUUGAAGGACACACAGGCAUUUAGAGGAAACAAAACUGGAUCCAAAUCAUCUAAUUACAGUACAAUCGUCUUUCAUUUAUGCCUCUACUUUAAAUUUUUGGGUUAUAAUCACUAUGAAAUAUGCUUUACAACUAAAGCUUCCUUGAUUCUUAAAGGUAGAGCUUAGCUCCAAAGCCAAUAUGAUGGACUACUUCUUUGUCUCAAACAGAUUUUUUUUUUUUUUUUUUUUGAUACAGAGUCCUGCUAUGUUGCCCGGGGUGGAGUGCAGUGGUGUGAUCUCCGCUCACUGUAACCUCUGCCUUCUGGGCUCAAGUGAUCUUCCCAUUUCAGCGUCCCAAGUAGCUGGAACUAUAGGCAUGCAGCACCAUGCCUGGUUAAUUUUUAUAGUUUUUGUAGAGCUGGGGUCUUGCCAAGUUGUCCAGGCUGGUCUCAAACUCCUCGGCUCAAGUGAUCCACCCACCUUUACCUCCCAAAGUCCUGGGAUUACAGGCGUGAGCCACCAUGCCUGGCCCCAAACACUUUCUUUCAUGAAUGUGGAUCAUUAACAUAGAGCAGUACAAGAUUUUAAUUGGAAUAUGAAUCUUAUAAUUUAUUCUCUUCAGGUUUUUUUUUUUUUUUUUUUUUUUUUUUUUUUUUAAGAGAUAGGUACCCAGGUUGGCCUCGAAACUCCUGGGCUCAAGUGAUCUUCCCGCCUCAGCCUCCUGAGUAUCUGGGACUAUUGGUGUGUACCAUCACACACAAUUUAUAUCUGCAGUUGUUGAAAGCAACUACCAUCUAUAUUAAACUUUGGAGUUACUGAAUUGCUAAGACAGUUACUCUGCAGGUCUAUUGGUUUGCAUAGCAGCUGUAAUGGAGAGAACUCAAAUUUCUUUUUAACUUUGUCAAGCUAUUCUUUUUUUUUAGGACUCUUUUUGGUUAGAGUAUGGGUGGGAACACAGAGUCCAACUCUACUCUUACAAGUAUCCCCGUGCUUUCUAGAAUCUUUUUAUACUAACAUUUGGACUUUUUGCUUUGAAUUUUUAUCACUUCCACUGGGCUCUUGGAAAGUUUUGAGGCUCCAUUUUUUUAUGUUUUCCCUAGAAAUUGAAAAGAACUUUGUUUGGAAAUGCGAGCUACAAUGAACCCAGGUCUUGAAUUAUUUCCACAUGUUCCGGCUGUCUUGCUUUUUGAAAUCUAGACCAAUUGUUCUAAAACUUUGUUAGGUUAGGGGAUCCUUCAGUUAGACAAUAGUCUUGAAAGACUGAUAGGAUUUCCAAACUGCCACUGCCAAAUAAUUCUGGAAUGAAAGGGAAGAGCAUUACUUCUUUUAAAUUAGGUGCCUGAUUGAUAUAUGCACAUUAUUAUUUUCAGAUGGGGCUAUAUUAUACACACCAUUACAAUAACAUUCAUAAUUUACUGAGGAUGUUCAUAAUUUACUAGAAAACUGAAGUCCACAUUUUAAGCAUAACUCAGAUUUAUAAAAUGACUCUACCUAUAGCUUUUGCAUCUGUGUCUGAGUGCACAAAUCCUUUGCUGGUUUUCUUAUGUCCAAAUCUAGUUAUCUCGGUUAACCACAGAAUCCUUCAGUGAAUCCAUUGGAGAAAUGUAUUUAUACAUCACGAAGAUACUUUUUGGUAGUACAUUGAAAAUUUUAUGUUGCAAAUUUAAAGACUUAUUUUAUUAUGUGAUCUAACAGAAUGUGUGAAUUUUACAUCUGAUAGGUCUACUUGAAGAGAUGUACAGAGGGGAGAGCAGAUAUGUUUAUGGAUCCAAGACCAGCAAAGUCAACUUUGGUUAAGGAGAUACUUUCACAGAUGGUCCUUCCUGCACCCCUCCCCCAUGUUCCUUAAUUUAAUGGCUUAUAAAUCAGCUAUCCAGGGGAGGAAAGGAUAUAAACUAUGUGACAGCACUCUAUAAAUCAUAAGAUGCUACAAAAUAAAAACAUUACUAUUUGAUUAAUUCACCUAAUAAUGGUGAUAUCCAUACCAUAUGGAAAAUUUCUUGUGAUUUACCUCUGGUUAUUAGUACAUUCACAUUUAUCCCAAGUAAACAAAGCAACUCACCACUACCCAAGUUUCUUCAUAAAUUCAGUAGUGAGUCACUCUGUUUAUUUGGAAGUGUGAAUACUGUGAUCUUUAAAAACUGAUUCUCAUAAAAGUACAUACAUUAAUUUACAUAAUGUCCUGACUUACAUUACCCUGCAAAGAAGGCAAAGUUCAUCUUAAGCAACGUUCUGUUUCAGUUGUACAAUUCCAUGUUUGAUGCCUUGCCUCUAUCUCUGUUGCUUUCCUUCCCUUCAGUCCCCAAUCUAAACUUCACUGUUUUAUGUCUUCUCUCUUGGAUUCCUACUAGCUGAUCUGAGAAACAAGGUUGUUUUGAGAAACUAAUUUGUUUUCAUGUAUCAGAAUUCGAGUAUGUAACUUUUCCCUGGUAAAUUAUUUGUCAUUUAAUAAGGGUAUUCUGAGGCCAGGCACAGUGGCUCAUGCCUGUAAUCUCAUAACUUUGGGAGGCUGAGGCAGGCAGAUGGCUUGAGCUCAGGAGUUUGAGACCAUCUUAGGCAACAUGGUAAGACCCUGUCUCUACAAAAAAUAAAAAAGUUAAAUGAGCGUGGUGGCAUGUGCCUGUAGACCCAGCUACUUGGGAGGCUGAAGUGGGAGGAUUGCUUCAGUCCGGGAGGUUGAGGCUGCAGUGAGCCGAGAUCAUGCUACUGCACUCCAGCCUGGGCGACAGAGUGAGACCCUGUCUCAAAAAAAAAAAAAAAAAAAAGAAUUUCAAAUAUAAUGAUCAUCACUGUUAUAGGUAUUCUUAGGUCCAAGAGAAUCUAGGUGACAUCACAAUCGCUUAUGUGCUCACUUAUAUGGAGGCACAUCCAUGGAAUGCCCAAUUCUAUGGGAAUUCCAUAUCUCUGUACCACUAUGGAGCUAUGAAAAAGGAUUGGCUGAGAGAUCAGAAGAUCUUAGCUCUGGAAUCAUAGAAUCCAGGGAUGAAACAUGAUCUUGCCCAUCUUGAUGACUGAAUCCUGUGUACAAAAUCCCUAAAAAUGUUCAUCCAUUCUCUCCUUGAAUGCGUCUAAUUACAGAAACUCACUCCAUUUAAAGGCAGUCUAUCUGAUAUUAGAGCAGAUCUGAUUGUUAACAAAAUUUUUCUUUUAUUUUGUGGAAAGGAUCUCCUGAUAGCAUCCAAUCAUUGGUCUAGUUCCACCUUUUGGAGCCAAACUAUACAAACUGAAUGUCUCCUCCUCUUAACCAUCUUAAUAAUAGCUACCACUUAUAGAGCACUUAUUAUAUGCUUGGAAGUACUCUAAAGACUUCACAUGUAUUAAUUUAUUC